GCUCAGGAUGAACGCUAGCUACAGGCUUAACACAUGCAAGUCGAGGGGUAGCAGGGUAGCAAUACCGCUGACGACCGGCGCACGGGUGAGUAACACGUAUCCAACCUUCCCAUAACUCGGGGAUAGCCUUUCGAAAGAAAGAUUAAUACCCGAUAGUACUUAUAUAAGGCAUCUUAAAUAAGUUAAAGAUUCAUUGGUUAUGGAUGGGGAUGCGUUCCAUUAGAUAGUUGGUGAGGUAACGGCUCACCAAGUCUUCGAUGGAUAGGGGUUCUGAGAGGAAGGUCCCCCACAUUGGUACUGAGACACGGACCAAACUCCUACGGGAGGCAGCAGUGAGGAGUAUUGGUCAAUGGGCGAGA
This 359-nucleotide ribosomal RNA is filed under the name uncultured Bacteroidota bacterium. Its description in RNAcentral is "bacterial SSU rRNA". It matches the Rfam family "Bacterial small subunit ribosomal RNA", at positions 22 to 380 of the family's 1533-position model. Lineage: Bacteria; Pseudomonadati; Bacteroidota. The record is from RNAcentral.